GAUAAACGCUGGCGGCGUGCCUAAUACAUGCAAGUCGAGCGAACGGACGAGAAGCUUGCUUCUCUGAUGUUAGCGGCGGACGGGUGAGUAACACGUGGAUAACCUACCUAUAAGACUGGGAUAACUUCGGGAAACCGGAGCUAAUACCGGAUAAUAUUUUGAACCGCAUGGUUCAAAAGUGAAAGACGGUCUUGCUGUCACUUAUAGAUGGAUCCGCGCUGCAUUAGCUAGUUGGUAAGGUAACGGCUUACCAAGGCAACGAUGCAUAGCCGACCUGAGAGGGUGAUCGGCCACACUGGAACUGAGACACGGUCCAGACUCCUACGGGAGGCAGCAGUAGGGAAUCUUCCGCAAUGGGCGAAAGCCUGACGGAGCAACGCCGCGUGAGUGAUGAAGGUCUUCGGAUCGUAAAACUCUGUUAUUAGGGAAGAACAUAUGUGUAAGUAACUGUGCACAUCUUGACGGUACCUAAUCAGAAAGCCACGGCUAACUACGUGCCAGCAGCCGCGGUAAUACGUAGGUGGCAAGCGUUAUCCGGAAUUAUUGGGCGUNAAGCGCGCGUAGGCGGUUUUUUAGUCUGAUGUGAAAGCCCACGGCUCAACCGUGGAGGGUCAUUGGAAACUGGAAAACUUGAGUGCAGAAGAGGAAAGUGGAAUUCCAUGUGUAGCGGUGAAAUGCGCAGAGAUAUGGAGGAACACCAGUGGCGAAGGCGACUUUCUGGUCUGUAACUGACGCUGAUGUGCGAAAGCGUGGGGAUCAAACAGGAUUAGAUACCCUGGUAGUCCACGCCGUAAACGAUGAGUGCUAAGUGUUAGGGGGUUUCCGCCCCUUAGUGCUGCAGCUAACACAUUAAGCACUCCGCCUGGGGAGUACGACCGCAAGGUUGAAACUCAAAGGAAUUGACGGGGACCCGCACAAGCGGUGGAGCAUGUGGUUUAAUUCGAAGCAACGCGAAGAACCUUACCAAAUCUUGACAUCCUUUGACAACUCUAGAGAUAGAGCCUUCCCCUUCGGGGGACAAAGUGACAGGUGGUGCAUGGUUGUCGUCAGCUCGUGUCGUGAGAUGUUGGGUUAAGUCCCGCAACGAGCGCAACCCUUAAGCUUAGUUGCCAUCAUUAAGUUGGGCACUCUAAGUUGACUGCCGGUGACAAACCGGAGGAAGGUGGGGAUGACGUCAAAUCAUCAUGCCCCUUAUAAUUUGGGCUACACACGUGCUACAAUGGACAAUACAAAGGGCAGCGAAACCGCGAGGUCAAGCAAAUCCCAUAAAGUUGUUCUCAGUUCGGAUUGUAGUCUGCAACUCGACUACAUGAAGCUGGAAUCGCUAGUAAUCGUAGAUCAGCAUGCUACGGUGAAUACGUUCCCGGGUCU
RNAcentral lists this ribosomal RNA (1371 nucleotides) under uncultured bacterium. RNAcentral's name for it is "bacterial SSU rRNA". It matches the Rfam family "Bacterial small subunit ribosomal RNA", at positions 28 to 1381 of the family's 1533-position model. The record is from RNAcentral.